Poeciliopsis prolifica (blackstripe livebearer) is the source of this 527-nucleotide long non-coding RNA. RefSeq lists it as uncharacterized. NCBI's taxonomy places the organism in Eukaryota, Metazoa, Chordata, Actinopteri, Cyprinodontiformes, Poeciliidae. The record is from RefSeq and is a predicted model, not a curated record. The transcript has 4 exons.
GAUCCUGUGAAGAAGCCUCAAGUAAAUGCAACAUGUCAGGAUGAAAAUGUGAAGUUUCACUGCUUUCUUGGUGCACAACCUGUGGAUGUGAAGUAUGAGUGGCUCCAAAACGGAGGCAAGAUGAAGGAAAGUCAUUUGACUUUUGAAAUGAAAGCAGCAGAAACUAAAGACGACAAAUUUGUUUGCAAAGUUUUCAACGAAGCCAGUUCUGAAACCAGUGAGCCUGUUUCUCAUAGCUGUGCUAAAAUAAAUCUUCCUAGUGUUUGGAACAUUGUUGGUGGUGGAGGAGAUUGUGACCAGUUUGCUGCAGGGGGUGGAAACUUCAUUAUUCCUCUGGGAUACCAACUAAAACCUACUGAUACUCUGAAGUGGAAGUUAAAUGGCAGCAUAAUAUUUGAUAAAAAACAAGAAAGGAUAGCAACUGGGAGAGAAAGUGACAUUAAUUCAGACGGAUCCCUUCAACUAAUAAACCUGUUGGAGAACCAAGCAGGACAUUAUACCGCUGAUGUUUUUGACGAAAAUGGAAA